CCUGUCUUUUAACCUGUUACCAAUCCAUGAGGGCACCUUCCCUCUUAUCCUGUAACAGCUUACUUUGCUUAAGAGCCUUUGGCAAAGGACCUUGUCAAAGGCUUUCUGAAAUUCUACAAAGCCAUCAAGCCACCAAGGAUAGGAGGGUCUGCAAAAGGCCCCUAGGCAGAGCCCACAAGGGCUGUAGAACAACAGUGAAAUUCUCUGACACCCUCCAUCACUGAGACACUUCAUUGAUUUGUCUGAAUGUUAAUGAUGGAGAGUUCUCUCUGUUCCUCCCAUGUGUUCUUUUGAGGCAGCCAGCAGGGGGAUCUGGGAACCAGGACUCCUGGGUUCUAUUCCUGGCUCUGGGAGAGGUGUGGAGUUUAGUGGAUAGAGCAGGGGAGACUGGGCAUCAGGAUGUAUGGGUACUUCUCCAAGCUCUGGGAGGGAAGUGGGCUCUAGUGGGUUAGAGAUGGAAAUCAACCCACUGCUCUGUUUGCCAUUAAACUUUUCAGCCCAA
Long non-coding RNA from Dermochelys coriacea (leatherback sea turtle), 502 nucleotides. RefSeq lists it as uncharacterized. Lineage: Eukaryota; Metazoa; Chordata; Testudines; Dermochelyidae. The record is from RefSeq and is a predicted model, not a curated record. The transcript is spliced from 2 exons.